RNAcentral lists this ribosomal RNA (279 nucleotides) under uncultured bacterium. RNAcentral's name for it is "partial 16S ribosomal RNA". It matches the Rfam family "Bacterial small subunit ribosomal RNA", at positions 506 to 784 of the family's 1533-position model. The record is from RNAcentral.
UGCCAGCCGCCGCGGUAAUACGGAGGGGGUUAGCGUUGUUCGGAAUUACUGGGCGUAAAGCGCACGUAGGCGGAUUAGUCAGUCAGAGGUGAAAUCCCGAGGCUCAACCUCGGAACUGCCUUUGAUACUGCUAGUCUAGAGUUCGAGAGAGGUGAGUGGAAUUCCGAGUGUAGAGGUGAAAUUCGUAGAUAUUCGGAGGAACACCAGUGGCGAAGGCGGCUCACUGGAUCGAUACUGACGCUGAGGUGCGAAAGCGUGGGGAGCAAACAGGAUUAGAUA